AGGAGCCUGCGCGGGACCCCAGCAUCCUGAGGCUGCCCAGGGUCGUCGGGGUCCCCGGACCCCGCGGGCGCCGCCACCGGGGCGAGCAACAGCAGCAGCGCGAGCAGCGGGGCGGUGGGGCGCGGGCCCCUGGGCCCGGACCAGGGAGCAGGCAGCCGUUGCCGGCGGGGCUGCAUGGACGCAGGAAAGUUGGCUCGGCACCCGACAGACACGGGCUCGGAGCGGGCAGUGCCGGCGCUCGCGGAAAUAAGGCCGUGGUGGGCCCCUCCCCUCCGCCCCCAGGGCGAAGGUUGCACAGUGGCUCAGAGAGUAGACUUGGAGCCAGGCUGCCCGGUUUUAUAGCCCUGCUUGACCUGUGUGAUCCGAGAAUAAUCUUGUUUAAUCUCCACAAGUUUGAGGACUAAACUGGGUGCCACAGAGAAUUAAGUAACUGGUCGAGGUUGUAUCAGUAAGAAGGGAGCACGGAACAGAUUCAAGCUCAGAUGGAGUCUCACACUGUCACCCGGGCUGGAAUGCAGUGGUGUGAUCUUGGCUCACCUCCCAGGUUCAAGCGAUUCUGCUGCCUCUGCCUCCCGAGCAGCUGGGAUUCCAGGGAGCCUGGUUGGACUUCAGGCCCCUGUGAGGCUGACUCUGUAGUCCUGGAGAAACUCAACAGCCAGGAACUUAGGACCAUUUGUGUGUGGCAUUUGGGCUAACCAGACUGGUGGCUUCUAAAGAAGAUGGAAAGCAUCACGUUUCCUGUAUUUAAAUUAUUUGGUGAUCUCAAUACUGGUUGUUAGCCAAAGUACACAAUGGAGACAGCCUAUUUGCUCUACUACUUUUGAUGUAGAAAUAUUACUAAGCUUGAGCUGAUUAAUAGAACUGUUACACAUUUCUGUGCUCCCCUUACUGGUGGCAUGAAAUAAUUCUUUUAAAACCUGCCAUGUGUUCACAUUUAAAACUAAAAGUAAUUUAGAUUACAUGGAUUUGAGAAGCCCAUGUUGACACGUAAUUGCCAACAGAUGGGCUUUCAAAUGUAAUGAAGUGAAAAUGGUCAGUACCCCAUGUGUUGGAUUUUGCAAUUUUCCAAAGUAAGCUGUCAUUUUUGGCAUGUCAUGCUAGUUAAGAACACAAUGUAUUUAUAGCUCAAUUAUACAUUUUCUGAUGAAUUUGGCAUGGCAUUUUGUUUUUCCAUCAGUCACUUAAGACAGGACAUUUGCCAUUCCAAGAAUGAAUUAACACUCUUCUAAGUGAUCUAUAAACUGAGAUGUAAAAUAAAUUACAAAUUGGGACUGUUUUAGUUUUUCAAGCAAAGGGUGUUUAAAUAAAGCUUGAAAUCAUAAACCUUAUUUCCUGUUUGAGAAGAUGGUGUAUUCAUUACAGAGUGAAAUAAAGGAUUUUAAUGUUUUUUUUUUUUUCCGGCAAUAAUAGUUAGAAUCUUACGUUCUUCAAAGAAAAUUUCAAAGAAAAUUCAUAACACUUGUUAAUAUUUGUAUGCCAUGAACUUUCUGGAGUGAUUGAUCUAUGCAAUUCUGUUUAUGACACUGGUGUUCAUCAGUGAAAUUUGCAUAGAGUAUGUUAUCAAGGCAAACCAAAACCAACUCUUCAUACCUCAGGGGAAGGCGUUUUCCCACAUGUGGCAGCCUAGAUAACAGGACAGUGUGUUAGAAAGCCCUCAUUCUAUUUUCCCCUCUUCACCAUUAUUUCUACAGGGUGCACACCAGGGCAUAUAUAUAAUAGUGAGAGCAAACAGAAGUACUGAUAAAUCACCUGGCUAAUAAAUAGACAACACAAUCACCUAGAUGACUUAGAAUACGUGAAUACAUACAGACAGAGGUUGGUUGAUUCCUUGGAGUGUUCUUAUGACAGUGCUGAUUUGUGUGUGUGGUUAGUUGUUAAAAUUUGGUGCUCCUGCAGGGAGGAUGAUUGGUGCAGGCUUCUGUUCAGCCACCCUGCCCCUAGUUCCAUGGAAUGUAAUGUGCGGUGGGUGGAUCUUCAAGUCCAGAAGCAGAAAAGCUGGAUUUGUGGGCGUUCAGAAGAGUCAGCAAGUUGUGAGAGCAGCAAGGGGCAGACUGGUCUGGGCAGAAGGUGUGGGCCGAGUGAAUGAAUUGUAGGGAAGACCAAACAGAACAGCAGUGAACCUGGCUGGAAUCAUGCCAGUGGCUACUUAGCAGUAAAGGAAAAAGGUGGAAAACCUUGAAGCCCAGCAAUGGGCAUUUGCUCUUAGAGGGUUCUCUAAAGUCCCUGCACACCUAGCCUUGAAAAGAGCCUACUGUGCACAGGGUGAGUUGGGUUGGAUUAUUUUUUUGAAACAAAUGCCACUGUAAACAUGUUUUUCUCUUCACUGGUAAAUAUCAGAAUUAUGAUGAGGCUUUAGGAUAAGGAGAUAUUAUUGUUGGCUAAAAUGAAAUUCUAUCUUGAUUCUUAAAGAACUAAGAAGGAUGGUACAGGGCAAAGAGCUCUGGUCUGAGAGUCAGAAGGCAUGGGGUCUAGUCCCAGCUCAACAACUCAAACUGGCUCAGUCUCUUCUGUGUAAAGUGCUGGGUGUGGGAUGAAUUACAUGGCAAACAGAGGGAACUGCCGGUUUGAAACACUGUAGUUUUAUUCUCUUUUACCUGUGCCUACCCGGUGCAGAGAACCUUGCUAAGUUGUCCUUUCUUUGGACACAUCUCACUAACGUCUUCCCACCUUCUGAAAGAAGACUUGUGCCUUCUUACUAUCAUGCAGAUAUCAUGCCUGGCCUUAUUACCAGAUAUUUUAAGUUAAAAAAAAAUCCAAACCACCAAAGAUCAGAGUUUAAUUGAUAUGCUUAUUGCUCUGAGCUAAAUGAAACAAAUGAAUGUCUGGAAUUUGGUAAAUGAGAUGACUCCUAUUUUGAAUUGUAAGUAAACUGAUGUGGCAGUCAGGGUAGUCUAGGAUAUGCUGCAAUAACAAACAAUGCCUACAUCUCAGGACCUAAGAUAAAAAAGGUUUAUUUGUUGCUCUCAUCACAAGUCCGUUAUGGUUUGGCUGGGGGUUUUACCAUAGCAUUGUCAGUGUUCUUAUUCCACAGGGCAGGCUGGUGGAGCAGCUGCUUCUGGAACAUUUCUUGUUGCUACAACUGAGGAAAAAGAGAACAGGGUGAAUUAUGCUUAGGUUCUUAGAGUUUCUGUUCAGGAGUGAUACAUAUUACUUCUGCUCACCUUUUAUUGACAAAAGCAUGUCGUAGGCGAUGCUUAACUUCUUCAGGGGGUGGGAAAGUACAAUAUCAUCAUGUUCUCCAGGAGGUGGAGAGCUGGAAGUAUGUGGAACAGCACAAAUGCUUACCACAACAGUGACUGCUGGGCGAGACCUAACCUCAUCAUGAGCAGAGUCUUUCAUAUAUUGUAUUAGUUUGCUGAGCUGCCAUAACUGAAUACCACAGACUGGGCAGAUCAGACAGCAUUUAUUUUCUCCCAAUUCUGGAGGCUAGAAGUCCAGUGUCAUGGUGUAGGCAGGGCUGGUUUCUUCUGAGACCUCUUCCCUUGGCUUCCCCUUCUCUGUGUGUCUUCACAUGAUCUUCCCUCUGUGUGUGCCUGUGUCCUUGUCUCCUUAUAAGGACACCAGUCAUGUUGGACUACAGCCCAUUCCAAUGACCUUACUUUAACGAAUUACCUCAUUAAAGAGUCUGUUUCCAAAUGCUGUAAUAUUCUGAGGUGCUGGGGGUUAGGGCUUCAAUAUAUGUAUGAAUUUUGGGGGGACACAAUUGAGCCCAUAACAGAUAUCAUGUUAACAUUAGAACUGGGGCUGUAACAAUGGUAAUUGUUAAUAGCAAUUAGUAAUUAGCAAAAAUUUUGAUACAUAUUAUCCCUGUCCCUAUACUUGGUAUGAAAAAGCUCAAUAAUUUUUUUUUUGUUUUCUUUUAUAGGGUCUUGCUCUGUCACCCAGACUGGAGUGCAGUGGUGCAAUCUUGGCUCACUGCACCCUUCACCUCCUGGGCUCAGGUGAUCCUCCCCAUCAGCCUUCUGAGUAGCUGGGACUACAGGCAUGUGCCACCAUGCCUGGCUAAUUUUUGUGUUUUUAGUAGAGAUGGGGUUUCGCCAUGUUGCCCAGGCUGAUCUUGAACUCCUGGCACAAGCAAUCCAUCUGCCUUAGCCUCCCAAAGUGCUGGGAUUCCACACGUGAGCCCGCACGCCAGGCCACAAGAUCUAUUUGUGCAAAUAGAUUAUUUCUUGCUAUAACAUUCAUGACAGCUCUAAGAUGCUGUGAUUAGAGUUUAAAAAUUGUAGAUUUAAUUGCAGACCUAUAGAAAGUUUUCAUAAUACACCUCAUACCUUAAACUCUCUUUAAACACAUUAGAUACUACAGAAUCCAGAAGACUGACUUGACUUUUUACUGGUUUUAAUAUUUCUCCUGUGAUAUGUGUUAGAAAACCAUAGACUUGUUAUUUUUACUGAGUAUUUCCCUGCUAUUAGACAUGAUUGGCUGGGCACGGUGGUUUGUGCCUAUAAUCACAGCACUUUGGGAGGCUGAUGCAGGCGAAUCACCUGAGGUCAGGAGUUUGAGACCAGCCUGGCCAACAUGGUGAAACCCCGCCUCUACUAAAAAUACAAAAGUUAGCCAGGCAUGGUGGCACAUGCCUGUAAUCCCAGCUACUUGGGAGGUUGAGGCAGGAGAAUCACUUGAACCCGGGAGGCGGAGGUUGCAGUGAGCCGAGAUCAUGCCAGUGCACUCUAACCUGGGUGACAGAGUGAGACUCCAUUUCAAAGUAAAAAAAAAAAAAAAGAUACGAUCUAGGCUGGUGGUUCUGAGACUUGAGCAUGAAUCAUCAUCCCCAGGAGGGUUUGUUGAAACAGACGACUGAGCCUCUCCCCCAGAGAUUCUCACUCCGUAGGUCUGGGAUGGACCCAAGAUUCUGCAUUUCUGACAUGUACCCAGGUGGUGCUGUUGCUGCCAGUCAGACCAGACUGCAAGAAGCACUGGUUUAGGAAAUUGCAGGUGAGGUCCUGGAAGGCAGCCAGGCUAAUGUGGGUACAUCACUGAUACCUUCCAGUCACAGGGAGACAGGGAGUCAGAAUUAUUAGAAUAGUGAAUGAGGCACUGUGUAACCAGGACCAGCUCUUUUGUAUUUCUUAAUCCUUACACAAACCAUGUAGUAUUACCCACUCUGUGUAAGGCCUACUUCCUCUUGAACCAUUCUUCAGUCAUUUUGUUUCUGUUUUUAGAACAGAGGGGCUGGUACAACAUGCUUUUUAACAGUUAGGCCAAUUGCACCAAAGUCUUGAGAAAAAAACACUUAAACCCAGUCAUUUUCUGUUUCCAACUGUGCUGCUUUUCAUACACACAACUUUCUGGAGCCCAGUGCUAACUGUGACCACUUUUGCUUUGGGAGUCCUAGAGCUCCUUGUCAAGGCUCAGCCCCGUGGCCUGCACUCACCUCUCCUCCUGAUGGCCUUAGCCUCCUGAUUGAGACUGCACACUCAGACCAUGCUGUUAGGACUGAGGGAUUUUUAGUCCCCCAAGUACCAAUGAGAGCUGGAGAAGUGACAAGUGGAUGUGUCCAGAGAAGGAGGCCGAGGCAGACCGUGCUCUCUGUUUCCACAGUAUCCCUUCUCCAUUUCUCCCUUACUGUGAUGGUCUGAGUUUUGUGUUCCCCACAAAUUAACAUAUUUCAGUCCUAACACUCAAAGUGAUGGAUUAGGAGGUAGGGCCUUUGAGGGGUGAUUAGUGGCUGUAUGAAAGAGGCCCGAGAGUGGCACCUCAUCUUUUCCAUCACGCGAGGACACAGCAAAAAGGCCCUGUGAACCAUGAAGUGGGUCCUCACCAGAACCUGAAUCUGCUGGCACUUUGAUCUUGGAUUUCCAGCCACCAGAACCGUGAGUGAUAAAUUUCUGUUGUAUAAGCCACCCAAGUCUAUGGUAUUCUGUUACAGCAGCCCAGAUGGACUAAGACACUUACUGACCAGACCCAAGGGUCGUGUAGGGUGGUGAUGUGCUCACUAAAUACUGUGCCAGUGCCAUUGUAGCUAGGGGCAGCUGUGUGACCUGCUUCUGGCUCAUGCAUGCAAGAGUUCUGUGUGGAGUUUCUGAGAAAACCUUUAAAAGGAGGUCUGGCUCAGCUGGGGUGCUCUUAUUGUCCUCUGCCCUUCACCCUUCCCCUUAUUCCUUCCUGGAAUGCAGAUGCUAGGCUUGGAGGUGCAGCAGCCAGGGUGCUACAAUGCAGGCUCCAUACUGAGCAAGUUGGAGCAGGAGGAGAGCAGGAGCCUGCCUCUCCAGUGGCAACCCCAGCAGCUGCUGAACUCCAGACUUCCUCUCAUGUGAGAAAAACCCCCUACUAGACUCUGCCUGUUUGUUAGAUUUUUCUGUUACUUGCAAGGGCUCUGCCUCCAUCAGCACGGAGUCUGAGAAAGAAGAGAAGUGACUGGGAAGUGACAUGUGAGUGUCCCACCACUGAUGACAGUGAUGAGAAUCAGCAGACUAGCAGCCACGCGAACAAACAUUUCCUGAGCACUGACUCCAGAUCAGGCACGAUGCCAAGCCCUCGACGUGGCAUUUUACAGAUGAGGAAUCUAAGGUUCAGAGGGUUUUAGUAACAUGCCCAAGUCGCACAGCCAGGAAGGGUAGAGCUGGGAUUCACACCCAGGCCUGUCCAACCUCCCUGGCCCUCAUCAGGACUCUUGACCUCUCUAGCUCUGGUCCCCAGGCCUCUGUCUUUGGUGUCUAGAGUCAGGCCUUAGGCACCUGUCCACUUUCAAGGCCCUGGCUCUCAUGGCUUGUAUCCCCACCAACCUCCCCGAUCCCUUCCCUGCAAACACAGCUGCUUCUCCAUGGCUGGGCUGGGGUUGGAGCCCCCUCUUCUCCUGCUGUGCCCACCCUCUCCUGUCUGGUGACUCCUGCAGGAUGGGGCUCCUCUGCCUUCUAUUCCCUGUGUUCUCCUCCUUUGCCUUCCUUAUCAGAAUGAGAACAGGCAUGACGCCUCUUCUUAGAGUUUUGAUUUUUCAGAGUUGCAAAUACGUCUGCUCUUCACAUUGUAUCUUUAUCAUUUUGAUUGAUGUCAGUUUCUAGAACACCUCAGCACUGGAAACAAGUACCAGAGGAAAACAACAUACAUUACAAAGAAAAAUAUGUAUAGUAUUGAUAAAUGAUAGAAUCUCAGAGUUGAAAGGAAUCUUGGGGCACCAUUCAGCCUCACCCUUUCCCCUGAAGCUGAAAACUCAAAAGGUGAGCUGGGUGGGUAGCGGGGUCAGAGUGCUUGCAUGGGAACUGAGGCCUGAGCAUUUUGUACAGAAAGAAUAAAUCCCACAUCUCCCAUACCACGUGUUCAAGCACUUUCAAAUGUAUCAAGACACUGUUGUGAUAGAUAGAAUAUGGAUUCCUUUAAAAGCAUCCCUGAACGUAGAGGUUUUGAUCAUGAUGCAUUUUCUGGUGUACAUGUGUGUUUAAGGCGUCUUCAUACUCAGAGUUACGAGCUCCUUCUCAGGCAGACCUGGUGCGUGCUGCUCACUCAUCCAUGAAAGCUCCUUGGGAGCCUCAGAACCGGCCUUAUCUUGCAUCCAGCUCUGCCUCUGGGUCACUUCUACAGUUGCCCUGGUCCUGUGUAGUGUGACUGAGAAUAAGCCCCUCCAACCUUUGGAAAUCAGAGUCUGUGUCCUGGUCCAAAUGUGUCCUGGCACCUCUUUCUCAUUCUCAUCUUGACCUAUGGUGAUCAGCUUCUCCUGGUCUGCCAGAGAGUAUCCUGGAUUUAAAACUAAAAGUUCUGGGUCUGGAAACUCCCUCAGUCCCAGGAAAACUGGAAUGGUUGGUCACCACUGUCUACUCUCUUUCAGGCUGAACAAUGCUAUUUCCUAAAAUGUUUAUAGUAGACAAGGUGUCUACAUCCCACCAUCCUGGUACCCCUCUGGGCUCAUGCUCCAGUUCGACAGCGUCACUCUGAACAUGCUGCAUCUUAAGCUGAAGGAGAUCCUCCGUAUUGAGGUUGUGGGUCUGUCGAUCAAUGUAUUCAACUUUUAACUAACUGCUCCACAACACUGGCUUAUAAUGCAUGUGUGACCAGUUAAAACCACAGGGCGUCUCCAUUAACUUCUGUCAGGUCAGGUUUCCCACCUCCACCCUGUACUUGGCAGUUGCUCUUUUGACCUAAUGGCAGUUUAUUUUAAAUUUAGUUUAAUUUAUUGGCUUGGGCCUAGUCAAUGUCCCUUUUCAGGUGAUGUGAAAUGUGAGCCCCUGGCCCAUCUUGGUCGUCUUGCCCAGGUUUGUGGCUUCUGCUCAUUUGGUAAACCCACCUUCUGUGCCCCCAUCCAAAGUGUCAGUACAAAUGUUUGGCACAGAUCCCUGGGGCACAUCACCUGAGACAUCCAUUGAGAUUCACAUCAAGCUGUCAGUUGAUAAUCUCUAUUUUCUUGUUCAGCUACCAGGGAGAAUAGAUCUAAUUGUAUUUUGGCCCUUAGGGGUAACCCCAGAGGCUUUGGGCACAUGCUGAUAAAAAAUCAAAAUCCCUUAGGAGCUGAAGCAUAUUCCAGAAAGGCUAGGAUGCCACCAGGUCAACACCACUCUGAAUAAGCACAGGUAAUUGAGGCAUUGACCCUAUAAUUAUGUGGGUGGUUUACUCCCAGCAAAGGCCUAAUCCUCAGUUGGCUCCUCUUUGCCACUCACAGGUCUCCGAGUCACUUCCUUUCACCAGCCAUUUUUAGUAAACUCCAGGGGAGUUCGGAUCAAUUUGCUUAAUAUUUCAAGAUUUUAUUCCAUCACAUAAAGAAAUAGAUUAGUGGGAUGUACCUUCAAGUAUAAUCUCUUAGAAUUUGUGUAUUAACUUUUUUGUCCCUGCACCUGUGACCUUUUUAAAAAAUUGAGUUAAUACCUACAGAGAAAUGCCCAGAUCUUAAAUAUGCACUUCCAAGAGUUUAAGCAAUUGUAUAAUCCACGCCAUCAGCACCCUAGUCAAGAUACAGGUCCCACCCAUCACCCCAGAAAUGCUUCAGUGCCUCCUUCCAGUCGGUUUCCCCCUCACUCUUCAUGUGGCCUAAGACUGUACCACUCUAACAGGUCUUAGACCCAUGCAAAUAUAACUAAAGGUGAUUAGAAAGAAAUAUCCCAUAAAAAUAAAAUAAGAACAAUAUACAUGUUUUGAAAAUAACUGCAGUUUAGCAUUUUCCAUCUCUGUCUAUGGCACAGGUAACCAAGUGUUUACUACAUUGUUUUCUCACAUUUUCUAUUGCAUAAUUUUCUUUGAAUAGUUCAGUGUCAUACCAAUUAAAAUGUUUACUCUGUGUUGCAACUUGUAGUAUCUUAAAAAACGUAUAUGUACAACUGAACUUAAAAGGAGGGACACUCUGCUGGAAUGUGAGAGUCAUUAGGUAUAUAACAACCAAUGUCAUCAUUCCUGGCUGGUAGAAUUGUCUGAUGAGGCCUGCAGCCAGCAGAGGUGCUCACAGGUGCAGGAGUGCAUACUGGCUGGCCUUUACCUGGUGGUUUGUGUUGGCUGCUGUUUGUGGAGACCUGCAUUUGUAAGAGCAUCCCUGACUGCUGUGGCUGACACACCUGCAAGUGUCUGUGGAAUGUAAUUAGUGCAGCCCAGCCUUGCAAAAAAGAAAGUCUUCUCUUGUUGCAGGAGAUGAACUGGACUGACCCAUUCAUGAUUGGUGGAUAGAAGAUAUCCACCUAUAUUUUUGUACUUUGCAAAGAGUGUUCAACAUUCACUAAUAUGAUGGUGACCUUCUGGGAAGGAUGAAAAAUUCUGAGAAAUUCUUUAAGUCUGAUAGCAAAUUAUGUUUUAGCUGUCCUGUCUUAAGUUCAGCUUUGGUGUUUGUGAUGGUUAAUUUUAUGUGUCAACUUGAUGGAGCUAAGGGAUGCCCAGCUCACUGGUAAAAUAGUACUUCUGGGUGUGCCUAUGAGGGUGUUUCUGAAGGAGAUUAGCAUUUGAGUUGGUGGGCUGACUGGAGAAGAGUGCCCUCAACAAUGCGAGUGGGCAUCAUCCAAUCUGUUGGGGGCCCAAAUAAAACAGAAAGACAGAGGAAGGGCAAAUUUGCUGUCUGAGCUGCGACAUCCACCUUCUGCCGUCAAACACCAGCUCUCCUGGUUCUUGGGGAACUUGGACUGGAAGAAACCACACUGGGUUUCCUGGAUCUCCAGCUUGCAGAUGGCAGAUCUGGAGACUUCUCAGCCUCUGUAAUCCAUGAGCCAAUCCCUCAUAAUAAAUCUCUUUCUAUAUAUCUCUAUAUAUCCUCUUGGCCUGUUUCUCUGGAGAAUCCUAACUAAUAUGACAUUUUGCCUAACUAUGGUAAGGUGCUACUCAGAGCCCUGCAAAGCAAUGAAGAAAUAGUAGUAGUAACAGCAAUAAUAAAAACCACCAUGACAAUAAUAACAACCAUUUGCUAUUGCUCACCAUGCUGGCAGCUGUGCUGAGGAGCUUGUAUAGAUCAUCACAAUUAAUUCCCACAGCAGUACCAUUUAUAGAUCAAGUAAUUGAAGUAAAACAGGUGAAGUAACUUUCCUAAAGGGGUAAACCACAUUAAAAGUAGAAUUUGUACCAGGUGUACCUGUCAGUGUCCCAGGAGAAAAUGGCUGGUAUAUUUAAAUUGAGCGAUUGGAGGCAAGUAUGAUAAAUAAAUAAUGGAGUUUUCACAUGUAUGAGGAACUGCACCUAGAUGUGUUCCUUGGUCUGUCUUUCUGGAUCAUUCCGUGCUAUGAUGUCCUUCUAAUAUCUCUAGCUUUCAUAAUAAGUUAUAUUAUCUGGAAGAGUGAGUCUCUGACUCUCCCCGCUCCUCCUCCUCCUCUUUCCUCUUCAAUUUUUGUUUCUUAGCUGUUCUUUUCUGUUUAUUCCUUGCAUUAAUUUGAGGAUGUACUUGAAAAGUUUCAUGAAAAAAAAUCUGGGUGGGGUGCAUUGGCUCACACCUGUAAUCCCAGCACUUUGGGAGGCUGAGGCUGUCAGAGCACUUGAGGCCAGGACUUUGAGAACAGCUUAGGCACCAUAAGUGCCAUCCUAUCUCUACAAAAAAGAAAAAGAAAAUUAGCUGGGCAUGGUGACUUGUGCCUGUAGUCCCAGCUACUCGGGAGGCUGAGGUGGGAGGAUCACUUAAACCCGGGGGGUUGAGUCUGCAGUGAGCUGUGAUUGCACCACUGCACACCAGCUUCAGGGUCUACAAGGCUUCACUCUGUCACACAGGCUGGAGUGCAGUGACAUGAUCACAGCUCACUGUAGCCUUGACCUCCCAGGCUCAAGCAAUCCUCCCACCUCAGCCUCCCAAGUAGCUGGGACUAUGGGCACGAGCCACCACACCCGGUUAAUUUUUUAUUUUUUGUAGAGAUGGGGGUCUCACUAUAUUGCUCAGGCUGAUCUCAAACUCCUGGGAUAAGGCAGUCCUCCCACCUCGGCUUUCCAAAGUGUUGGGGUUACAGGCAUGAGCCACCGCACCUGGUCAAACUAUCAUCUUACUUAUAAUAGAUUAUAAAACUCUCUUGGAUUUUCUAUACUAAGGUAGUCAAAAUUUUAAGAAGGCCUCCAAGAUUUUCACCUCUUGAUGUACAUACCCCAUAUAAUUCCCUUCCCUUGAGUGUCAGUAGAACCUGUUAAUAUGAUGGGAUAGUCACUCCCAUUAUUAUGCUGUACCAUUUAAGACAGUUCUAGGUGACCGAAGGGAGAGAUUCUCCUGGUGGCUUUGAACAAGUAAGCUGUGACAGUGUAGGCCAAGUGGCAAGGGACUGCAGGCGGCUUCCGGGGGCCAAGAGCAGGCCCCAGGCAACAACCAUCAGAAAACGGAAGCCUCACUCCUAUCAUCCCAGGGAACUGAAUUCUGCCACCACAUGAGUUUGGAAGAGGAUCAUGAGCUCCAGCUGAGAGCAGAAGUAGGGCCUCCGCCUUGAUUUCAGCCCCACCUUGAUUUCAGCCUACUGACACCCUGUAUAGAGAUACUGACUUCUGACCUACAAAACUGUGACAUAAUAAAUGUGGGUUUUUUAAACUGCUAAAUUUGCGGUUAUUUGUUACCCAACAACAGAAAGCAUUGUAAACAUUCUUGCUGUUUGCAAUUAAUGGCAAGAUUGUUUCUUCCUUUCCAAACCUUAUACAUUUUAUAUUUAUUCCUGGCCUUAUUUUCCUGGCUAAAACCUUGAGUUAAAUAGAAGGGACGAUAUUGAAAAUCCUUAAAUUUUUCUUGAUUGUAAGGUAAUUAUUUUUUAUUUUUAUUUUUUUUGAGACAGAGUUUCACUCUUGUUGCCCAGGCUGGAGUGCAAUGGCUCGAUCUCGGCUCACGGCAACCUCUGCCUCCUGGGUUCAAGCGAUUUUCCUGCCUCAGCCUCCUGAAUAGCUGGGAUUACAGGCAUGAGCCACCAUGCCUGGCUAAUUUUGUAUUUUUAGUAGAGACAGGGUUUCUCCAUGUUGGUCAGGCUGGUCUCGAACUCCUGACCUCAGGUGAUCCGCCCGCCUCGGCCUCCCUAAGUGCUAGGAUUACAGGUGUGAGACCACUACAGGUGUCUACCCGGCCGAUUGUAAGGUAAUUCUUCUAAUAUGUCAUCAUUAAAUGUUUUUGUAAUCUUUUAGAGAACAUCUUUGAUGAAAUCAUGAGCUUUAACUUCUCUUCCUACUUUGCUAAGAGUUUAUUUUCCAAUUACGAAUGGGCUUUAAAGUUGUUAUGUGUGUUUUCUACAGCUAUUGAAAUAAUUAUAUGUUUUUUCUUUUUUAACUGUUAAGCUAGUUUCUACGUUGAUAGAUUUUCUGAAGUUAAGCCAUUAUUUCAUUCUUGGAAUAAAACCUAAAUUUAAAAAUGUAGUACAUUGCCAGUUUUAGAUUGUUAAUGUUUUAUUUAAGAUCUUUGUUAUCUUUCUUCAAAGGAUUAGUAAAACAAUUGUAAAGCCUUCAAAGAUUGUUGAUCUUUUCUUUCCCUCUUAAAUAGACUUUAUUUUUUAAAUCAGUUUUAGGUUCAUAGCAAAACUGAGCUGAAGGUACAGAAAUUCUCAUAUUUCCUCAGCCUCUCCCACUAUCAACAUCCUGCAUCAGAGUGGAACACUUAUUACAACUGAUGAGCCCACAUUGGCACAUCAUUAUCAAUCAAAGUAUAUAGUUUACAUUAGAGUUCACCCUUGGUGUUGUAUAUACUAUGGGUUUGGACAAAUGUGUAAUGACAUAUAUUCAUAUAUUCACCAUUGUAGUAUCACACAUAAUAGUUACCCUGUCCCAAAAAGUCUUUGUGCUGUUGAAAAUGAUUUCUUCUUUAACAUCUUUCAUCUCUUCCUACCAAUCCCUGGCAGCCACUGAUCCUUUUACUGCCUCCAUAAUUAUGCCUUUUCCAGAAUGUUGCAUAGUUGGAAUGAUGUCGUAUGUAGACUUUUAAGACUGGCUUCUUUCACUGAGUAAUAUGAAUUUGUUUUCUCCAUGUCUUUUCAUGGCUUGGUAGCUCAUUUCUUUUUAGCACUGAAGAACAUUUCAUCGUCUGGAUGUGCCACAAUUUCUUUAUUCAUUGACCUACUGAAGGUCAUCUUGGUUGCUUCCAAGUUUUGGCAAUUAUGAUAAAUAAAGCUGCUAUGAACAUUCAUCUAUGGGUUUUUGUGUGGCCAUAAGUUUUCAGCUCCUAUGGGUGAAUACCAAGAAGCACAAUUGCUGAAUCAUAUGGUAAGAAUAUUUUUAGUUUUGUAAGAAGCUGCCAAACUGUCUUCUAAAGUGGGUAUAUCAUUUUGAAAGAUUGUUUUUGUUGUUGAUUUUUUUUUGUAACUUUUAUUUAGCUGAAUAGUCUAUUUUCGUUAUGGAACCAUGCAUUUUAGUCAUUUAUAAUAAUUAUUGUGUGGAUUUAAUAUACUUAUAAUGUGGGUUAACAUUUGGCAGUGCAAACCCAUCACUCAUCCCAAUGUAUGCAUUAUUUUCUUCUUCAAAAUUUGUGAUGCUGAAGUAUUAUUCUAUAAACCCCUCUCACCCCUUUGCCCCCUAGUUGUUGAUUUUUUAAAAAUUGAUUAAAUUUUUAAAUUAUUGUUUGUCUCUAAAUGCUUAACAGAUCUUUUCAGGUUUUUUAUUCUUCUUGAGUUUUUAAAAUAUUUCUCUAGAAAAUUGUGUACUUCAUCUACAUUUUUAUUAUAAUAUUGUUGUUCAUAGUAUUCUUUCAUGAGGUUCUAAAAUUUCCUAUACCAGUAUUUAUAUUGAAUUUUUAUUUUUUAUUAUUGUUGAUAUGUGCCUUUUCUUAUUUAUUAUUUGCCAGGUUUGUGAAGUUUUUGUUUUAUAAGUCUUUGUCAAGAGCCAGCAUUUGGUUUUAUUAACUCUAUUUAGUUAUCUUUGUUUUCUUAUUUCAUUCAUUUCUGUUCCUGCAUUUAUUAGCUCUUUUCUUCUACUUUGUUUUGUUUAUUAGUUAUAUAGCUUCCUUUUUUUUUUUUUUUUUUUUGUUUUUGGAGACUGUGUCUCACUCUGUCGCUCAGGCUGGAGUACAGUGGCGUGAUCAUGGCUCACUGCAGCCUUUGACCUCCCAGGCUCAAGCAAUCCUCCAACCUCUCAGCCUCCUGACUAGCUGGGGCCACAGGCACAUUGCCACCAUGCCCAGCUAACUUUUAUAUUUUUGGUAAAGAUGGGGUUUUGCCAUGUUGCCCAAGCAGGUCUCAAAUGAUCCUCCUGCCUUUGCCUCUCAAAGUGCUGGGAUUACAGGCAUGAACUACUGUGUCUGUCUAUUAAAUCUAUUUAGUUAUCUUUGUUUUUUAUUUCAUUCAUUUCAGUUCUUACAUUUAUUCUUUCCAUUUUAUUUAUUAGUUAUAUGACUUUUUUUAAUUUUAUUUUUAUUAUUAUUAUACUUUAAGUUUUAGGGUACAUGUGCACAAUGUGCAGGUUAGUUACAUAUGUAUACCUGUGCCAUGUUGGUGUGCUGCACCCAUUAACUCGUCAUUUAGCAUUAGGUAUAUCUCCUAAUGCUAUCCCUCCCCCCUCCCCCCACCCCACAACAGUCCCCGGAGUGUGAUGUUCCUCUUCCUGUGUCCAUGUGUUCUCAUUGUUCAAUUCCCACCUAUGAGUGAGAACAUGCGGUGUUUGGUUUUUUGUCCUUGGCGAUAGUUUGCUGAGAAUGAUGGUUUCCAGUUUCAUCCAUGUCCCUACAAAGGACAUGAACUCUUCAUUUUUUAUGGCUGCAUAGUAUUCCAUGGUGUAUAUGUGCCACAUUUUCUUAAUCCAGUCUAUUGUUGUUG
This 15083-nucleotide long non-coding RNA is filed under the name Homo sapiens (human). RNAcentral describes it as "HSALNT0315685". The record is from RNAcentral. Lineage: Eukaryota; Metazoa; Chordata; Mammalia; Primates; Hominidae.